This 358-nucleotide unclassified non-coding RNA is filed under the name soil metagenome. Its description in RNAcentral is "partial contains 5.8S ribosomal RNA, internal transcribed spacer 2, and large subunit ribosomal RNA". The stretch from base 1 to 120 matches the Rfam family "5.8S ribosomal RNA", at positions 35 to 154 of the family's 154-position model. The record is from RNAcentral.
GAUGAAGAACGCAGCGAAAUGCGAUAAGUAAUGUGAAUUGCAGAAUUCAGUGAAUCAUCGAAUCUUUGAACGCACAUUGCGCCCGUCAGUAUUCUGGCGGGCAUGCCUGUUCGAGCGUCAUUACGCCCCUCAAGUCCCCUGUGGACUUGGUGUCGGGGAUCGGCGAGGCUGGUUUUCCAGCACAGCCGUCCCUUAAAUUAAUUGGCGGUCUCGCCGUGGCCCUCCUCUGCGCAGUAGUAAAACACUCGCAACAGGAGCCCGGCGCGGUCCACUGCCGUAAAACCCCCCAACUUUUUAUAGUUGACCUCGAAUCAGGUAGGACUACCCGCUGAACUUAAGCAUAUCAAUAAGCGGAGGA